This 510-nucleotide ribosomal RNA is filed under the name uncultured bacterium. RNAcentral describes it as "partial 16S ribosomal RNA". It matches the Rfam family "Bacterial small subunit ribosomal RNA", at positions 28 to 507 of the family's 1533-position model. The record is from RNAcentral.
GACGAACGCUGGCGGCGUGCUUAACACAUGCAAGUCGAACGAAGAGCGAUGGAAGCUUGCUUCUAUCAAUCUUAGUGGCGAACGGGUGAGUAACGCGUAAUCAACCUGCCCUUCAGAGGGGGACAACAGUUGGAAACGACUGCUAAUACCGCAUACGAUCUAAUCUCGGCAUCGAGGAUAGAUGAAAGGUGGCCUCUACGUGUAAGCUAUCACUGAAGGAGGGGAUUGCGUCUGAUUAGCUAGUUGGAGGGGUAACGGCCCACCAAGGCGAUGAUCAGUAGCCGGUCUGAGAGGAUGAACGGCCACAUUGGGACUGAGACACGGCCCAGACUCCUACGGGAGGCAGCAGUGGGGAAUCUUCCGCAAUGGACGAAAGUCUGACGGAGCAACGCCGCGUGAGUGAUGACGGCCUUCGGGUUGUAAAGCUCUGUUAAUCGGGACGAAAGGCCUUCUUGCGAAUAGUGAGAAGGAUUGACGGUACCGGAAUAGAAAGCCACGGCUAACUACGUG